CGCCGCGGUUAUACGAGAGGCUCAAGUCGACAGAAACCGGCGUAAAGGGUGGUUAAGACAUAAAAUGCUAGAGGAAAAUGUCUUCCAAGCUGUUAUACGCACCCGGAGAUAAGAAAAACUUAAACGAAAGCCCCUCCAAUAGAUAUGAACCCACGACAGCUUUGGUA
Molecule: ribosomal RNA, 167 nt
Filed under: Synodus lucioceps
Lineage: Eukaryota; Metazoa; Chordata; Actinopteri; Aulopiformes; Synodontidae
Description: partial 12S rRNA
Source: RNAcentral